CCUACGGGGGGCUGCAGUGGGGAAUUUUCCGCAAUGGGCGAAAGCCUGACGGAGCAAGACCGCGUGGGGGAAGAAGGCUCUUGGGUUGUAAACUCCUUUUCUCUGGGAAGAACAAAAUGACGGUACCAGAGGAAUCAGCAUCGGCUAACUCCGUGCCAGCAGCCGCGGUAAGACGGAGGAUGCAAGCGUUAUCCGGAAUGAUUGGGCGUAAAGCGUCCGCAGGUGGCAGUUCAAGUCUGCUGUCAAAGACCGGGGCUCAACCUCGGAAAGGCAGUGGAAACUGAACAGCUAGAGUAUGGUAGGGGCAAAGGGAAUUCCUGGUGUAGCGGUGAAAUGCGUAGAGAUCAGGAAGAACAUCGGUGGCGAAGGCGCUUUGCUGGACCAUAACUGACACUCAGGGACGAAAGCUAGGGGAGCGAAUGGGAUUAGAUACCCCAGUAGUC
Molecule: ribosomal RNA, 443 nt
Filed under: uncultured bacterium
Lineage: Bacteria
Description: bacterial SSU rRNA
Rfam family: Bacterial small subunit ribosomal RNA
Source: RNAcentral